GCUGGCGCGUGCUAUAAUGCAGUCGAGCGGACAGAUGGGAGCUUGCUCCCUGAAGUCAGCGGCGGACGGGUGAGUAACACGUGGGCAACCUGCCUGUAAGACUGGGAUAACUCCGGGAAACCGGGGCUAAUACCGGAUAAUUCUUUCCCUCACAUGAGGGAAAGCUGAAAGAUGGUUUCGGCUAUCACUUACAGAUGGGCCCGCGGCGCAUUAGCUAGUUGGUGAGGUAACGGCUCACCAAGGCAACGAUGCGUAGCCGACCUGAGAGGGUGAUCGGCCACACUGGGACUGAGACACGGCCCAGACUCCUACGGGAGGCAGCAGUAGGGAAUCUUCCGCAAUGGACGAAAGUCUGACGGAGCAACGCCGCGUGAGUGAUGAAGGUUUUCGGAUCGUAAAACUCUGUUGUUAGGGAAGAACAAGUACCGGAGUAACUGCCGGUACCUUGACGGUACCUAACCAGAAAGCCACGGCUAACUACGUGCCAGCAGCCGCGGUAAUACGUAGGUGGCAAGCGUUGUCCGGAAUUAUUGGGCGUAAAGCGCGCGCAGGCGGUUCCUUAAGUCUGAUGUGAAAGCCCCCGGCUCAACCGGGGAGGGUCAUUGGAAACUGGGGAACUUGAGUGCAGAAGAGAAGAGUGGAAUUCCACGUGUAGCGGUGAAAUGCGUAGAGAUGUGGAGGAACACCAGUGGCGAAGGCGACUCUUUGGUCUGUAACUGACGCUGAGGCGCGAAAGCGUGGGGAGCAAACAGGAUUAGAUACCCUGGUAGUCCACGCCGUAAACGAUGAGUGCUAAGUGUUAGAGGGUUUCCGCCCUUUAGUGCUGCAGCAAACGCAUUAAGCACUCCGCCUGGGGAGUACGGCCGCAAGGCUGAAACUCAAAGGAAUUGACGGGGGCCCGCACAAGCGGUGGAACAUGUGGUUUAAUUCCAAGCAACGCGAAAAACCUUACCAGGGCUUGGAUCUCCCGGAAACCCUAAGAAAAGGGGGUCCCCUU
This 997-nucleotide ribosomal RNA is filed under the name Cytobacillus firmus. RNAcentral's name for it is "bacterial SSU rRNA". It matches the Rfam family "Bacterial small subunit ribosomal RNA", at positions 35 to 1019 of the family's 1533-position model. Lineage: Bacteria; Bacillati; Bacillota; Bacilli; Caryophanales; Bacillaceae. The record is from RNAcentral.